This is a small nucleolar RNA of Camelus dromedarius (Arabian camel), 97 nucleotides long. The record is from Ensembl. Lineage: Eukaryota; Metazoa; Chordata; Mammalia; Artiodactyla; Camelidae.
AUCCUUUUCAUGAGUGUGAUGAUUGGGUGUUCACUUGUUAUGUGACAUGUGCCUCCCUCAAAUCUUGUUAUGACACUGGUGAAUAACCCAUCUGACA